This 286-nucleotide ribosomal RNA is filed under the name Chloropicon mariensis. RNAcentral's name for it is "partial Bacterial small subunit ribosomal RNA". It matches the Rfam family "Bacterial small subunit ribosomal RNA", at positions 1 to 317 of the family's 1533-position model. Lineage: Eukaryota; Viridiplantae; Chlorophyta; Chloropicophyceae; Chloropicales; Chloropicaceae. The record is from RNAcentral.
UUGAGAGUUUGAUCCUGGCUCAGAACGAACGCUGGCGGCAGGCUUAACACAUGCAAGUCGAGCGGGCGCUUUCGGGCGUCAGCGGCGGACGGGUUAGUAACGCGUGGGAACGUGCCUUUUGCUUCGGAAUAGCCCUGGGAAACUGGGGGUAAUACCGGAUGUGCCCUGAGGGGGAAAGAUUUAUCGGCAAGAGAUCGGCCCGCGUCUGAUUAGGUAGUUGGUGUGGUAACGGCGCACCAAGCCGACGAUCGGUAGCUGGUUUGAGAGGAUGAUCAGCAACACUGGG